Molecule: ribosomal RNA, 253 nt
Filed under: uncultured bacterium
Lineage: Bacteria
Description: partial 16S ribosomal RNA
Rfam family: Bacterial small subunit ribosomal RNA
Source: RNAcentral
UACGGAGGGUGCUAGCGUUGUUCGGAAUCACUGGGCGUAAAGCGCGUGUAGGCGGCCCGAUAAGUCCGCUGUGAAAGUCCAGGGCUCAACCCUGGAAUGCCGGUGGAUACUGUCGGGCUCGAGUCCGGAAGAGGCGAGUGGAAUUCCUGGUGUAGCGGUGAAAUGCGCAGAUAUCAGGAGGAACACCGAUGGCGAAGGCAGCUCGCUGGGACGGUACUGACGCUGAGACGCGAAAGCGUGGGGAGCGAACAGG